ACAGAAGCAUACUGACAGAUACAGAGAACAAACUACACAGGGAAAUACAGCCACUAUUUUAUAAUGACUUUAAAUGGAGUAUGAUCUAUAAAAGUACUGAGUCACUACGUGGUUGCUGGGCUGCAAGCGGCAGCAAGGCGCGUACUUGCCCAGGUCUGAGAUGGAAGAAAGAGCCAGGAGACCACGAGAGGGGCAUAAAUGAUUUACUAAAUAGGGCAGGGGUCCCCAAAUCCCAAGCCGAGGACUCAUAGGAACCAGGCCGAACAGCAGGAGAUAGGAACAGUGUCUCAUGCAAGAGAAAAAGCAUUCUGUUUUGGUGAACAUGGAAACUGAAUUCUCAGAUUUGGGGCUUCUAAUGGCAAAUUAAACCCAUCUCACCAAGAAAAGAGAAUGAGAAAAAGAAAUAACUUUUAUACUGUGGCAAAUAACUGGUGUGUUGAUCUUUUUGAAUCUCCUGAUUUCUUUAUCUUGUCAUGGUUUUCCUUAAUGGUGACACAGGUUUAAGAAAAUAAAACACAUCUGAUAGAAGUUCUUUGUCUUCCCCCUUUUAAAUUAUUUAGUAACAUUGGGUAGCUAAGAAAUUGUCUCUGCUCCUACAAAAAACCACUAUGCUAAUUGUGGCCAGAAAAAUCAGUAAUUAUAACAGAUUAUACAAAGCAGGAACGGCUACACUAACGUUAGGGAGUAAGGGGUGCAAUUAUGUGGCUCAGCCUAAGACAUCUUCACUCUGAAUCUCUGUGAAGAAUGAAGAAAAAAAAGCUCCACACCAAAAUUGAAGGGGACCAGUUUUCUGAUUGUGUCCUAGGGGAUUUGGAUAAAGCUCAAGCAAUUUGAAGCAUACCCUCAGGUUGUACUCAGCAGAAUUCCUGACCUCUGCCACAUCCUAUCUAUCAUAAGCCUUUAUCAGGAGAAGAUGCCAAAUCACAAGCCAUUUGGUGGCAUAUAAUUGCUUCGACAUUGACAGCAGAAGGGUAUAUAUCAUCUCCUAUGUUAAAAGGGGAGUGAGUGUUUUAAAUGGAAGAAGACUGAAUAUAAAAGAAAAUUUAAAUAAACACGGAAGCGAAGCUAAACCAAUACUAAACUGAAAGGGAUAUCAAAAUAAAAUGAAACCUUAAAUAUGGACUGAAGAAAACAAUAAUGUAUGAUUUCUAAUGAUACUUUCUGAUCUAUUAGAAAUAUUGAAGAAACAAAAAUUAAGAAAGAAGCGGAAGAAGGAAGGAAGAAAGGAGGA
This is a long non-coding RNA of Odocoileus virginianus texanus, 1231 nucleotides long. RefSeq lists it as uncharacterized. The record is from RefSeq and is a predicted model, not a curated record. Lineage: Eukaryota; Metazoa; Chordata; Mammalia; Artiodactyla; Cervidae.